CCUACGGGAGGCAGCAGUGAGGAAUAUUGGUCAAUGGGCGGGAGCCUGAACCAGCCAAGUCGCGUGAGGGAUGACGGUACAGCGUAUCGUAAACCUCUUUUGUCAGGGAACAAAGGCGUGCACGUGUCCCCGGAUGAGUGUACCUUAAGAAAAAGCAUCGGCUAACUCCGUGCCCGCAGCCGCGGUAAUACGGGGGAUGCGAGCGUUAUCCGGAUUUAUUGGGUUUAAAGGGUGCGAAGGGGGUCGGUUAAGUCAGCGGUAAAAGUUCGGGGCUAAACCCCGGGCGGCCGGUGAAACGGGCCGUCUUGAGUUGGAGAGAAGUAGGGGGAAUGCGUGGUGUAGCGGUGAAAUGCAUAG
This 357-nucleotide ribosomal RNA is filed under the name uncultured bacterium. Its description in RNAcentral is "partial 16S ribosomal RNA". It matches the Rfam family "Bacterial small subunit ribosomal RNA", at positions 338 to 693 of the family's 1533-position model. The record is from RNAcentral.